This 620-nucleotide small RNA is filed under the name Pan troglodytes (chimpanzee). Its description in RNAcentral is "retained intron". The record is from RNAcentral. Lineage: Eukaryota; Metazoa; Chordata; Mammalia; Primates; Hominidae.
CGCCUUCCCCGGCGCGCCAUGGAGCCCCGGGCGGUUGCAGAAGCCGUGGAGACGGGGAAGGAGGAUGUGAUUAUGGAAGCUCUGCGGUCAUACAACCAGGAGCACUCCCAGAGCUUCACGUUUGAUGAUGCCCAACAGGAGGACCGGAAGGUGGGUGCUGGCCCAAGGGGUAAAGGGGCAGGGACGGGUGGCCCCAGGAAGAAGGGCCUGGUGGAGCCGCUCUUCUCCCUGCCCACAGAGACUGGCGGAGCUGCUGGUCUCCGUCCUGGAACAGGGCUUGCCACCCUCCCACCGUGUCAUCUGGCUGCAGAGUGUCCGAAUCCUGUCCCGGGACCGCAACUGCCUGGACCCGUUCACCAGCCGCCAGAGCCUGCAGGCACUAGCCUGCUAUGCUGACAUCUCUGUCUCUGAGGGGUCCGUCCCAGAGUCCCCAGACAUGGAUGUUGUACUGGAGUCCCUCAAGUGCCUGUGCAACCUCGUGCUCAGCAGCCCUGUGGCACAGAUGCUGGCAGCAGAGGCCCGCCUAGUGGUGAAGCUCACAGAGCGUGUGGGGCUGUACCGUGAGAGGAGCUUCCCCCACGAUGUCCAGUUCUUUGACUUGCGGCUCCUCUUCCUGCUAA